UGGCGCUGCAGGGCGGGCGGGGUAAAGAAGGGAGCGAGCCCUUCUCAAGCUUGGAAAGUUUCCAGACUGCUGGGCCAGCCUCCUCCCCAGAGGGAAACUGAGGUCCGAUUGAGGUUUCUCCAAGACCGCCCACUCCUGCUCCUGUCCCCAAACCCCUUUCUGCCUAGGGUUCCUGGAAGCCAAGGAAACAGAACGAACUGUUCCCUGGGUGGGCGAGCCACUGCAGAGUACAAAGCUUUCAGGCCGCCUGCCUCAUUAGCACUAAUGGCUGCUCCCUUCCGCCCUGUGUCGUCAGGACUGUCUAUGCCUGGUCUCAUCAGCACAAGGCUGGGCUGAAGAAGUCCCAGGAGUCCUCCCAUGUCCUCUCAGCAACCCAGGCUGGAGCCUACUCCCUGGUGUUGGCAAAGGAAACCGUCUUUGAAGCCAGAGGGAGCCCUGAAUUCAUGCAGAGGAGUUUUUCUACCUUCCAUCUGCUUCUGCAUAUCAUCUUGUCUACUUAAUGCCCCUCCUUCCGGAUUUAUAGAACAGUAUGCAUAAUAUGACCCCAACUGCAUUCCAAAAAAUAGAUGUAGAUGUAAGCUUAGAGAUGCAAAGAAACUUUUUGAGAGAAUUCACUAUGCUUCUCGCGGGUGGUGACACAGUUCAAGGAGGUUCCGUGGGGUGUAAUGUUUAUCUUUCUCUUUUGUCCCUCUGAUCAUUGAAAUGAUGCUUUGUGUGUGUGAACAUGUAUUACUUUUAUAAUUAAAAUAGAAAAAUUAAUUUGAAUGGGACAAAUGCUCGAAGUCAAAGUCACCUGUUAUAACUGCUGUCACUAACAGGGCAACUGUUUGAAAAUGCUGCAGAAACAUGAGAAAUGUUCAUGAAGUGACCCUGUGGAGGCUUCCGGUCACAGGAUCAUGUGAGCGCCACGAUCACCCCAGGGGUGGAGCAGAUGCUAAGUGUUCACCACACCCAAUUCUCUUCCUGGACACACAGGAAGAUGACAUUUCCCAGGCCCUUUGCAGUUAAAGUGAGGUCUAGUGACAGAGGUCUGGCCAAUAAAUAUGGGCAGCAGUGACAUGCCCCACCUCUAGGCCCUAGUCUUUUUUUUAUUUAAGGGUCUGAGUCUUGUUCUGUCACCCAGGCUGGAGUGCAGUGCUGUGAUCAUGACUCACUGCAGCCUCAACCUCCUGUGCUCAAACAAUCCUCCCACCUCAGCCUCCCUAAUAGCUGAUGUCAUAUAGGCAUGAGCCAGUGUGCCUGGCUCAGGCCCUACCCUUAAAAGCAUCCCACCUGAUUCACCAGCCCCCUUCUCCUCUCUCUCAGUAAACUUGGAAACCACGCAUUCCAGAUGGUAUAAUUUGCAGCAUGAUGGAAAAAGCCAGCUCUCCAUGGGAAGCUGGCCAGUCUUCAUUGGAGUACAUUUUUAUUGCAUGAAGCCAAUGAGACUUGAUAUUGUUUAACUCUGUGGUUUCCAAAGUGCGGUCCUUUCGAAGUAUCCAUAAAGUCUACACUAGGUUCACAGUAAUAUUAAGAUGUUAUUUGUCA
RNAcentral lists this non-coding RNA (1527 nucleotides) under Pan troglodytes (chimpanzee). The record is from RNAcentral. Lineage: Eukaryota; Metazoa; Chordata; Mammalia; Primates; Hominidae.